CAGCCGCCGCGGGAAUACGUAGGUGGCAAGCGUUGUCCGGAAUGAUUGGGCGUAAAGGGCUCGCAGGCGGUUUCUUAAGUCUGAUGUGAAAGCCCCCGGCUCAACCGGGGAGGGUCAUUGGAAACUGGGAAACUUGAGUGCAGAAGAGGAGAGUGGAAUUCCACAUGUAGCGGUGAAAUGCGUAGAGAUGUGGAGGAACACCAGUGGCGAAGGCGACUCUCUGGUCUGUAACUGACGCUGAGGAGCGAAAGCGUGGGGAGCGAACAGGAUUAGAUACCCGCGUAGUCCCUGUCUCUUAUAC
Molecule: ribosomal RNA, 301 nt
Filed under: uncultured bacterium
Lineage: Bacteria
Description: partial 16S ribosomal RNA
Rfam family: Bacterial small subunit ribosomal RNA
Source: RNAcentral